UGAAUAGACAAUUCUUUGCCUGCCUCAC
Molecule: non-coding RNA, 28 nt
Filed under: Rattus norvegicus (Norway rat)
Lineage: Eukaryota; Metazoa; Chordata; Mammalia; Rodentia; Muridae
Source: RNAcentral